AAGAACUCUAAUCCAAGUUCUCAGUUAGCUGGUGAAAGAAGGAUAACUUCAUGGUUGUCAUUCUCUUCAGUACUUCUCCUGCUAUCUUCUGGCUCACUCUGGUUGUUGCUGUGCAUUUUGUUUCAUCCUUUAAUGUUGUAUGAGGUCCAGUUUGCACAGGCAGGCUCCCAGUAUUCUUGGUUGCUUACUGGUCUUGCUUAUUUUUUAAGCAUAAGGCUG
RNAcentral lists this unclassified non-coding RNA (219 nucleotides) under Hevea brasiliensis (rubber tree). Lineage: Eukaryota; Viridiplantae; Streptophyta; Magnoliopsida; Malpighiales; Euphorbiaceae. The record is from RNAcentral.